UGGGGAAUAUUGGACAAUGGGGGGAACCCUGAUCCAGCCAUGCCGCGUGUGUGAAGAAGGCCUUAUGGUUGUAAAGCACUUUAAGCGAGGAGGAGGCUACCUGAGACUAAUACUCUUGGAUAGUGGACGUUACUCGCAGAAUAAGCACCGGCUAACUCUGUGCCAGCAGCCGCGGUAAUACAGAGGGUGCGAGCGUUAAUCGGAUUUACUGGGCGUAAAGCGUGCGUAGGCGGCUUUUUAAGUCKGAUGUGAAAUCCCCGAGCUUAACUUGGGAAUUGCAUUYGAUACUGUGAAKCUAGAGUAUG
This 305-nucleotide ribosomal RNA is filed under the name uncultured Gammaproteobacteria bacterium. RNAcentral's name for it is "bacterial SSU rRNA". It matches the Rfam family "Bacterial small subunit ribosomal RNA", at positions 355 to 650 of the family's 1533-position model. The record is from RNAcentral. Lineage: Bacteria; Pseudomonadati; Pseudomonadota; Gammaproteobacteria.